Molecule: transfer RNA, 73 nt
Filed under: Eutropis macularia (bronze grass skink)
Lineage: Eukaryota; Metazoa; Chordata; Lepidosauria; Squamata; Scincidae
Description: tRNA-Gln
Source: RNAcentral
ACAGGACACGAACCUGCACCUUAAGGCCCAAAACCUCACGUACUUCAAUAUACUACUCUCUAGUAAAGUCAGC